CCCUUAGAUGUUCUGGGCCGCACGCGUGCUACACUGAACGGUUCAAUGGGUAAGGUAGUGCGAAAGCAUGACCUAAUCUCGAAAUCCGUUCGUGCUGGGGAUAGAAGCUUGCAAUUAUCCUUCUUGAACGAGGAAUACCUUGUAAGCGUGAGUCAUCAUCUCACGCUGAAUACGUCCCUGCCCUUUGUACACACCGCCCGUCGCUCCUACCGAUUGAAUGGUCCGGUGAAGCCUCGGGAUUGUGGCCAGUUCACUUUAUUGGGAGUUGGCUGUGAGAACUUGUCUAAACCUUAUCAUUUAGAGGAAGGUGAAGUCGUAACA
RNAcentral lists this ribosomal RNA (321 nucleotides) under uncultured eukaryote. RNAcentral describes it as "partial 18S ribosomal RNA". It matches the Rfam family "Eukaryotic small subunit ribosomal RNA", at positions 1470 to 1796 of the family's 1831-position model. The record is from RNAcentral.